GGUAACCGUAGCCUGGUAGACGGGGGAGUAACGUAAUUGGUAAACGAAUAAGCUAAUAACGCAUAACAGUAAAUGUUGCAUGACAUUUGCUUAAAAGGUAGCAAUUGCAUCACUACCAGAUGGACCUGCGUUGUAUUAGCUAGUUGGUGGGGUAACGGCUCACCAAGGCGACGAGUACAUAGCCGACCUGAGAGGGUGAUCGGCCACACUGGGACGUGAGACACGGCCCAGACUCCUACGGGAGGCAGCAGUAGGGAAUCUUCGGCAAUGGACGGAAGUCUGACCGAGCAACGCCGCGUGAGUGAAGAAGGUUUUCGGAUCGUAAAGCUCUGUUGUAAGAGAAGAACGAGUGUGAGAGUGGAAAGUUCACACUGUGACGGUAUCUUACCAGAAAGGGACGGCUAACUACGUG
Molecule: ribosomal RNA, 412 nt
Filed under: uncultured Streptococcus sp.
Lineage: Bacteria; Bacillati; Bacillota; Bacilli; Lactobacillales; Streptococcaceae
Description: bacterial SSU rRNA
Rfam family: Bacterial small subunit ribosomal RNA
Source: RNAcentral